GGGGAACUAGUCUAACUUAAGACAGCUGAUUUCGGCUCACCAAAUUAUGGUUAAAACCCAUAGUUCCCUUC
This 71-nucleotide transfer RNA is filed under the name Microhyla pulchra. RNAcentral's name for it is "tRNA-Arg". It matches the Rfam family "tRNA". From Rfam's summary of the family: Transfer RNA (tRNA) molecules are approximately 80 nucleotides in length. Their secondary structure includes four short double-helical elements and three loops (D, anti-codon, and T loops). Further hydrogen bonds mediate the characteristic L-shaped molecular structure. tRNAs have two regions of fundamental functional importance: the anti-codon, which is responsible for specific mRNA codon recognition, and the 3' end, to which the tRNAs corresponding amino acid is attached (by aminoacyl-tRNA synthetases). tRNAs cope with the degeneracy of the genetic code in two manners: having more than one tRNA (with a specific anti-codon) for a particular amino acid; and 'wobble' base-pairing, i.e. permitting non-standard base-pairing at the 3rd anti-codon position. Lineage: Eukaryota; Metazoa; Chordata; Amphibia; Anura; Microhylidae. The record is from RNAcentral.